Long non-coding RNA from Podarcis raffonei (Aeolian wall lizard), 903 nucleotides. RefSeq lists it as uncharacterized. The record is from RefSeq and is a predicted model, not a curated record. The transcript is spliced from 2 exons. NCBI's taxonomy places the organism in Eukaryota, Metazoa, Chordata, Lepidosauria, Squamata, Lacertidae.
UGGCUUUAGGCCUAAAGGCUGCAGGGAUGUUGCAUCUCUUCACUGCCAGUGAGAAAACCUGCAAUGGGAAACAAGCUCCCAUUUGUGAGUCAGAGGACUAACAAAGGCUCUGUCACAAAGCAAUGAGGUCACCCGGACAUGGUGACACCUUCCUGAUGAAAAUCAUGUGAUACCAGUAAUGGAACACUCUUGCAGGCCCCAUGGCCUCCUCUGGCAACUGGAACAGCUACGCAGCAUUCCCAGGAAGGGGUCCUGGUGUUCUGGGGCUCACAGUUGCUCUCUUGUGAGCACCCAGUCUUUAUAGAGUAAAAGCAGCACAGACGGAGGUUUGCGAAGACAAAGGCUUAGAAACUGCCUGUCUGCUAUAAAAGAAGAUGGCAGGGAAUGAAAUUUUCAAAUGCACUGAGCACCCACAACUAGUUGAAGAUUCUUUAAACUAGGUCAUUUGUAGCUUGCUUAUGAUCACCCAGAAGCUAGGAAGAAACUCCAAAUUUCCAAAGUCAUAUUUCAAAUAUAUAACCAUGGGCUCAUUUUACCUCUUUUGCUGCAGUACCACAUCAACUCUAUCAUAGUCUGCUACCUGGAUAAUAACACCUCCAGGAACCAUAACUGCAGCUCUGCUCUUUAAAGAACUCACCACACCACCCCUUGUUUGUAAAUGUUCUUAAAAUAUGGGCAAUUUUAAAGGGGGACAAGAGAGUCCAUGCAGAACCAUCAAAGCUGCGUUAGCAGAGGGCCAUUUCAUUAGCAAGAAAAAGGCAGACAUUUCCUGCAGGAAUAUCUGCCCUAAUAAAAAAUGUCAAGGAGUGGGGGAGAUAGAGAUGAAGAAAUACAAAUGGAAGGUUACAACCCUAUGCAUGCAUAUUGUACACUGUUAACUAUGAAAAAUGGCUUGCAACACAA